Molecule: unclassified non-coding RNA, 2682 nt
Filed under: Hevea brasiliensis (rubber tree)
Lineage: Eukaryota; Viridiplantae; Streptophyta; Magnoliopsida; Malpighiales; Euphorbiaceae
Source: RNAcentral
AAAAAAAAAAAAAAAUUCAUUUGCCGGCAGCAUGGCUUGCAUCAGAUUGUACGUUUUCAAGCAACUUGCUUUUGAUUCAAGUUUUCUUGCACAACCUGUAAAUAACAUGUCCCAUGUUUAAUAAAAUCAAGCAACCAGGUUGUGGUUCAGGCUUGAAAGAGACUACCAUACAUUGAACAAAAAUUUCUCAUUUGAAUGGGUGUAGCAAUUGCCAGUAAGUUUCACAGAUAGGAUCAUACUUGCACCGUCUGGACUCUGGAAGGUGCAGGGGUCAAGUUGUUGAUCUCAGGUAAAAAUGGUGAUGGAAUCAUCAGAUACCCCAAACCUGUGGACUCCACUCAAAUCCCACAUGGGAAGUCCACAAGUUUGUUUCUGCUGUGCAGUUUGCAUCCUACUGCAACCAAUUAUGUAAUUAAUCUUACACGCUGUUUGAAUGGAUCCACUGAUUACUAGUUUGUCCAGACUACAUAACUCAUUAAGUUGGCUGCUGAGUUUUAUAUCUUUAUAUAGAGCAUAACACCAUGCCUAUCACUUCUGAACACAAGUAAGAGAAAGCAAACCCAAUUACCACCAAAAUGCAUUGGUUUGGGUAAGUGCAGAAUGCUAUAUAACUCAUGCAUACCAGCAUUUUCUUAUGAACCAAGCUUUAGUGUGCCAUCGAAAGAUUGCAACACAGAUCAAGACUUCAUUGUCAACCCAAAAUUAAAACCAUGACAGUAGCAUUGGGAAAUGUAAUUCAAUUAACCAACAUACUGUCGGUAUCUAAGCAAAUUCUUCAAAAAGGUUGGCAAAGAGCUACUUUAUCUCACAUCAAGAAAAUUCUUUGGUAUGAAACUCAUCAUGUUUACCAUAAACGUUCUUGUACAAUGGCACAUAAAUAUCACCCUUGUAUCUCUUUUCCACGUCCACAAUCAGAGUUUGUUGGUCAAUAAAUGUUGUGAAGCAAUGAAGACCUUGGUAGAUGCCAGAAUCAUAGCUGCUAGUUUGGAUCUGGAGAUUCAACAAGGCAUUCAUCUUCGAUUUCCUUUCCUAUUCCCUUGAUUAUCAGGAUAUUUCUUGUCCAUGUUGCCUUCCAGCAUCUUUGCUGUUCGUUGAAUAGCUGCUAGCCUCUGGCGCUGGCUAUAACUUUUUCUUUUGCUCAAAAACAACAACCCCGCAGUGAGAACCAUCCCUCCUACUGCCCAAGAAACUUUUUCACUAAAAGGCAUUUCCUGCACCCACUGCUGAAAAUCUUUUAAAAUCCAUAAGUUCCCAUCUUUCUGGGGCAACUCAGAAUGAGAAGUCCUCCAUGACUCGGCAAUAGAAUCAAGACUAGCUCUACCACCAUAGCAAGAUGCCUCUUCUGUACCAAUGUCCGCAUCAUCAGGCGAUUUAACGGUGAAACCAGCAGAGAGGCAGAGCUCUGUACCAUUGGAGACCCAUUCAGCAGCUUUACCACAAACAAAGUCAUUCACUCCACAUGGUGCUAGAACCUCUGUUUUUGCAUCCAUUGAGAAGUAAGCAUUAGCACAAGCUUGAUAGACUGUGUCACAAAAAGAAGUGCAUAUAAGAGGAAGUCCAGGCUGAACACCAAUCUGGGGGUCACAGAUGGAACAUUCCAAUAAUUCCCAUAAUUGCAAGCAUUCUUGGCUAGCCUCCCCAGUUGCAGCCAGUCUCCUAACGGACAGCAAAGCAGGAUACGUCUGAGCUACGUCACAGCAAGUCUUUCUACGAAACACCCUGCAGAGGGUCAAAUCUUUGGAACCCUUGCUUACCUUUUUCGGAGGUUUCCCUUCAGUUGAAAAUGGUGGAAACCGACCACUUUUGGAAAUACACACUCCGUCACGUAUUCCUGCAUAAGCAGAAUAAACGGACUUAAUAUGAUGGAUGCAUAAAUACAUUUACAAUGAGACAAGUUGGUACUUGAUAGAACAAAGAUAAAUUUUCACUACAGCCAUCUUGCACCUGAGCAUUUAGCUCCUGCCUCCCUAAUCACCAAACUAAAACCAUCAACUUUGAAGAAAAAAAAUUAUAGACUCAUUUACAUUACUAUCACCAGGUUACCCAAGCCGUUGGUCAGCAUUAUCAUUUAUCCAGUAAUUUGGAUACCAAACUCCGUCCCCUCAUAAUGCUCUAGGGUUAAGACAAAUGCAUAUGCUAAAAGAAUACAGCAUAAACAACAACAUGAAUUAAAAGUAGUUGCACAUCCCAAGCCCUGUGUAAGUACAGAAAGAAUGAUACAUUGGGUUGGGAAUGUAUUGUAUCAAAAAAUCCCAACCUUCUAAUAACUACAUGGCAUAUGCCAUGUAAAUAAGCUAAAGCAUCACUGCCAUCAAAGCAUUCAAUCUCAUCACAAUGUUGGAUCUCGUCAUAUAUUAAUUCAACCAAUGCCCUUCCUUAAUAAGUAAAGAAGUCCCAAAAUUUUAAACCGAGUCAUAACCAAAAUAGACACAAGAGCCUGUUAGUGAAACCUCAUGACUCCAUAAGAGUUACUCCUUUUUGGAGAUCGAAACAACAUAAAGUAUAAUCCCUUCAAUUUUCUCAGAUACCAAGCGAAAAGUAAAGUUAAAUAAAACACAAGAUCAAGAUGUAACAUACAAAUUCAGAAACAUGAUAAAAUUUCUGAUUCUCAUUUCUAGACCAUACAUAUAUAUUAUUUUUUGCAAAUUCCCAUUCCUAAGCUAUCCCAAAUACAUGAAUUCU